Long non-coding RNA from Orussus abietinus, 601 nucleotides. RefSeq lists it as uncharacterized. The transcript is spliced from 3 exons. Lineage: Eukaryota; Metazoa; Arthropoda; Insecta; Hymenoptera; Orussidae. The record is from RefSeq and is a predicted model, not a curated record.
GGCGCGGUUUCUUCGGCCUGGCCAGUCGGUCUAGGAGUUUAUGGCGAUACGCAUAUUUCUCUUAAGUGCAAAUGUCUCGAUGAUGAUCCCAGACGCGCCGAAACAGGUUUCGCUCGGACGCCGAUCUCGUGAAUACGAGUCGCGAUCUCAGGAUCGCUUGCAAACAUGACGAUGCAGUGGUGUCGGUCCUCCAACCGGCAAUUAGCACAGAAUACACAUAAAUGUCACAUGUAAUUACACGGUACCGUUUACAUCGAGUGAGCAUUAAUGGACGAACGGCGAAAGGGAAAGUAUACGUUUCAGUUUUUGGAAGCCAAAUUAACACGAGUCAAAGGCUUUUAACCUUUCAUUAUGUAUCCGUGGAUGGACAUCGUGAGCGAACGUCAAAAACACUGAAAGCCACGUGACUAUGGCGCGAGAAUUAUUUAAAGGAUAUAAGUGAAUCGGCAAAUGAUAGAGAAAUAUUGGCAUGUAUUUUAUUGGAUUAAUAACGGUAAAUGUGCAAAGUCAAUUAUGCUAGGCAAUAUAGGCAAAUGACCGCAGGGUAAUAAAUAAAUUGACAUUUACAGGAUGUCAAGAAAGAAUUGGAGAUGUUAAGACG